Molecule: long non-coding RNA, 470 nt
Filed under: Mytilus galloprovincialis (Mediterranean mussel)
Lineage: Eukaryota; Metazoa; Mollusca; Bivalvia; Mytilida; Mytilidae
Source: RNAcentral
CCAAAACGUAAGCAAUUAUCAUGACUAAACCAACUACUUAUAAUAAUUAAAUAUCGUAUGCAUAUUCCGUUUUGAUUUUUUAAAUAAUGUUCUUGAUAGAAGAUUCAGUGCUGAUGAAAAUGAAACGACAGGUGCAAAGGUUUCCAACAAUUGAAAUCACUUCAAAAAUUCAAAUUAGAUUUGUUGUGGAUUUUGGUCCUUCGUUUAAAGCUUGGUAAUUAUAAUAACAUUUAACUUUGUGUGUUAUUAAAGCAUAGUAUCAUAUGGAGCAUAAGAACACCCAAUCGUGUCUGUGUUAUUUGCGUUGGAACUGUGUUCAAUUUGUUUUGACUGAAUUAAGUACUUUUUGUUAUCUACGUACUGAAAAUAUUCAAACAUUCUGGAACAGUUAUGAUUGAUUUUUUUUUUGCUGCCUUAUAUUAGUAAUACUAAUCCAAUACGUUUAUUGAAGUAUUUAAAGCGGUAUUGUG